This 2413-nucleotide long non-coding RNA is filed under the name Homo sapiens (human). Its description in RNAcentral is "non-protein coding lnc-BHLHA15-1:1". The record is from RNAcentral. Lineage: Eukaryota; Metazoa; Chordata; Mammalia; Primates; Hominidae.
GCAGCCUCGGCGCGUGUGGCCGCGGAUCCCCAGCUCCAAGGGCCUCACCUUCCUGCCGCCACCUCCUAGGACAGCGGCGUGAGGCCCAAACCUCUAGGUAGGGCCCAGUUGGAUCCUGAUUUUUCAUUGAGCCAGGCAGUCUCAGCCCGAGUUGAAAGGCCUCCUUAGCCUUGGAACUAACGUCUCUUCACCCUGACUUCUGGGCAAGGGGAGAUCCCAGGAAAAGGUUUACCUGCAGGUUUUCCAAGGCCAAAGCCCCAGCAAGGACCCCCUCUCCAACCUUUGUUAUAGGGCUACAUGGGGCCUGGGCUCAGCAUCCUCAUUUGGGGUAAACUGAGGCCCGGGACAAGCCCGGCAGAGCCUAAGGCUGCUCGGGGAGUGGGGCCAAUCAGAGAUGAUUGGAGCUGCCAGAAACUCUAAUCAGAUGACCUCCAAUUCAUCCUUAAAAGUUGAAUGGUGGGGAGGGGCUGGAGUCUCUUCCUCCCUCCUCCCAAGUUGGGGCUCCUGGAUGUGUUGACUCCAGGCUGUGCCUGGUUGUGGAGGGUCUGGGGCAGGGUGUGAGGGGUGCUGUGGAACUGGAGCAGGAGACAGGGCUGGGUGUUCCUGGUGCAGCCCUUCUGGGCAUGGGAGAGAAGCCCCAAGGCCCUGGGUUGCUCCCCAAGAGCAGCUCUGAGGCCUCCUGCUCAGCCCUGGCCUGUGUGGGGAGCGAGUGUGCCCCCCACCCAGCCCCUGCCACCGCCGUUACUUAUUCUCACUGAUGUGGGGUUAUCAUAUAAUUGGCACCAUGCUGUCUGUAGGACAUUAUGACGUGCUUGGGUUCUGGUUUGAGUUGGCAGCCCGUUGGGUCUCUCUGCCUGGUGGAGCCUUGGGGUGGCAGGUACGUCCCUUCCCCCGCCCAGGUGCUUCAUCCUCAUGGCCAGGCCUGGUGGCUUGGCACGUCUCUGCUGCCCCAAGCCCAGCUUCCUUCUGCUGGGCGUUCCUGCCCCACUGGCUCUGCCGGACUUGGCUACUGGACUCUCCCCUCCCUCAUGCCUCUGCCCAGAGAUGUCCCAAAGGCCCUCAGGGCCAAGCCGGGCCAGGGAUGUGGCUGCCACAGCUGAGACCAAGGGCUCUGGCUGGCCCGUCCCCACCAGGUGGCCCUGCCCUCCCCAAGUUGGGGGUUGUGGCACUUGGGGUCAGGCCUAGCCACGUAAGGACACAGGUAACACCCUGAGGAUCUGGCAUUGGCAGCUUCAGGCCUAACUUUCCUGGUCAGGGCCCCUUAAGGUGGCCCGGGCACAUUGGUUUCAUUUCGAUGAGACUUUGUCAGAGGCCUGGUCUGGUCCUGGCCCUACCGCCCCAGCUGUCCUUCAGCACAGCUCGGGGUGGGGACUCCAGGAUGCUGGGUCUGCCCCUUGGGAGGGGCACUCUGGAAGGUCAGGGUGAUCCACAACUGUGAGCUGAGGUUGGAUGCAGCUGGGAGCUUGGGACAGAGAGAGCCCAGGGCUCCCCUGCUGUGGGGCACCUGCCCAGCGGGGACAUGAGAUGACAGAGACCUCCCCGGCGGGGGUACUCAGGUGCUACGAACAUGGCAGCUCUUGUUUCCGGCUGAGCCAUGGCCAGAGCAGGGCUCAGUCUGCCCCUGAACUUGCUGAAUGGACCGACGAGCUGAGCCUGAAAGCCCAGAAGAGCCUCGGUCCAGAAGACGGAGACUCGGCCCGGUGUCCAGCGCAGCCCAGGGCUUCCUGGGGGGCAGCAGGAGUGCCUGGGGGUCACCGCCUUCAGGACAAUGGCCUCAGUGGCUCUUUCUUUCUGCCCUGAACUGGCACCUGCACCUCCUCUGCUUCCUAGAGGGUGACCUGGGCCGAGCCGCCCAGUCCUUCUUCCCCUGAGGCCAGAGGGGACGCCCCGCGGCCACAUCACACAGGAUCCUCAGCAGCCAUAGUCUCGCUUCAGGGUGUCCAGUGUUUCGAGGAGGAGAGGGGACAGGGGCCAGGUCCACUCCCUUGGCCCUCCUCUUGGACCCCAAGGCCAGGCCGGAUCCUUUUAUCCCGUGGGGAGCCCCUGCCUCGGCCAUCGGGAUGAGGUCCCUCAAGUCCCUGCACAAGCAGGUCAGAGACCCACCCACAUGCCGUUCCUGGGCUACGCCACGCGCCAUCCCCCGGGGCUGUGGACGCACCCAGCCCCCGACAGACAGGCGCCCUGAGAGCUCCGAAGGCGCGAUCCCCAUCCCCACCAGUGGAGAAGCCAGAACCGCGAUUGUUGCAUCUGGGAAAACCCAGCUGGAGCCGAACGGCCCGUGCCCCCACUGUAAUUGUGCUGAAAAUGUUUCUCAAAUGACCCAAAUUGGCUCUUAUUUUUUCUAAUGGCCCUUUCAAAGUAUUCAUGAAAUUGAUGCUGUGUCAUAAAACAAAAAUAAAAGAUUUCACAGCAA